AAAGAGAGAUUAGUAGAAAAUAGCAACAAAAUGCUGUCCUUCCUGGGUAAUUAUUUCCUUUCCUUUUUCUUGUGGUAUGCGAUCUGCGUAUCUUUGAGUGACUAGCUGUAGUACAGUGUCUGUCAGAACUAUUUUAGUCCUUAGAAAGGGACAUUCAAUAUGUGGGCUUUUGCCAUACCUUGUGUUUAAAGGUGACCCUCUGCACUUCCAGCAGUGACUACAGAUGUGGUUGAGGUGCCUGGUGUCACGGAGAGCAGCAAUGAGCAGACUAACACCAAGGUCACAAAGAGCUGCCCAGGCUUGCUGUGUUUGCAUCACUAAUGUAGCCAACUCUAACCUAUGUGUGGUGGACCCUCUUCUCAGUGUAUCUGUGGCAGUAGGUAGAGCAGCAAGUGUCUGCCUGUUGGCCGCCUCCAUGCCAUUCUCCUCACGGCAAGCAACAUCACUCCUUCAGAAUAAAUUGGUGGCACAGGUUGCUCCUGAUUCAUCCAAGCUGUGUGGCUUAAUUAAGGUUCAGAACUUCCUCAAGACUAGGAAGAAAUUCUUGUCUUCCUGUGUAAGAUAAAACCAUAAAAUGUGCAUCAACA
Molecule: long non-coding RNA, 587 nt
Organism: Pseudopipra pipra
Lineage: Eukaryota; Metazoa; Chordata; Aves; Passeriformes; Pipridae
Exons: 2
Source: RefSeq, a predicted model, not a curated record